UUACUACUCCCUCGGUCCAAAACUCUUGUCUUAGGUUUGUCUAGAAAUGUAUGUAUCUAAAUACUAAAACGUGACNNGAUACAUUCAUAUCUAGACAAAUCUAAGACAAGAAUUUUGGGACGCAGGAAGUAUAUA
Hordeum vulgare subsp. vulgare (domesticated barley) is the source of this 135-nucleotide non-coding RNA. Lineage: Eukaryota; Viridiplantae; Streptophyta; Magnoliopsida; Poales; Poaceae. The record is from Rfam.